UACGGGGGGGAGCAAGCGUUGUUCGGAUUUACUGGGCGUAAAGGGUGCGUAGGCGGCGCGGUAAGUCGGGUGUGAAAUCUCGGGGCUUAACUCCGAAACUGCAUUCGAUACUGCCGUGCUUGAGGACUGGAGAGGAGACUGGAAUUCCUGGUGUAGCGGUGAAAUGCGCAGAUAUCAGGAGGAACACCGGUGGCGAAGGCGGGUCUCUGGGCCGUAACUGACGCUGAGGAGCGAAAGCGUGGGGAGCGAACAGG
RNAcentral lists this ribosomal RNA (254 nucleotides) under uncultured bacterium. RNAcentral describes it as "partial 16S ribosomal RNA". It matches the Rfam family "Bacterial small subunit ribosomal RNA", at positions 524 to 776 of the family's 1533-position model. The record is from RNAcentral.